GCCCUCGUGGCCCAAUGGAUAAGGCAUCGGCCUCCUAAGCCGGGGAUAUCGGGUUCGAGUCCCACCGAGGGUA
Nephila pilipes (giant wood spider) is the source of this 73-nucleotide non-coding RNA. NCBI's taxonomy places the organism in Eukaryota, Metazoa, Arthropoda, Arachnida, Araneae, Nephilidae. The record is from the annotation of a GenBank genome assembly.